Molecule: ribosomal RNA, 258 nt
Filed under: uncultured bacterium
Lineage: Bacteria
Description: partial 16S ribosomal RNA
Rfam family: Bacterial small subunit ribosomal RNA
Source: RNAcentral
CAGGAGGGUGCGAGCGUUAAUCGGAAUUACUGGGCGUAAAGCGAGUGUAGGUGGCUCAGUUAAGUCACAUGUGAAAUCCCCCGGGCUUAACCUGGGAACUGCAUGUGAUACUGGUGGUGCUAGAAUAUGUGAGAGGGAAGUAGAAUUCCAGGUGUAGCGGUGAAAUGCGUAGAGAUCUGGAGGAAUACCGAUGGCGAAGGCAGCUUCCUGGCAUAAUAUUGACACUGAGAUUCGAAAGCGUGGGUAGCAAACAGGAUU